GGGUUGGUAAUUACUGAUCUCACAGAGAUGAGAGGACAAUUGUUUGCGAAGAACUGAAUCCACUAGCUUAGACUUUAUAGAUGUGAAGCAAGUUUGCCAUUCAUAAGCUGAGUUUUGAGUCUAAAGCAUGUCUUCAGGAUUUCUGAAGAAUGGUCGGUGAAGGAUGAGCAGGGAUCUGAUUUCCUUUGCACAUUCAGGAGACCUUUUGUUGAGAUUGUUGUCAAGGAUGGUUUUUU
Molecule: unclassified non-coding RNA, 236 nt
Filed under: Hevea brasiliensis (rubber tree)
Lineage: Eukaryota; Viridiplantae; Streptophyta; Magnoliopsida; Malpighiales; Euphorbiaceae
Source: RNAcentral